Molecule: ribosomal RNA, 317 nt
Filed under: uncultured bacterium
Lineage: Bacteria
Description: bacterial SSU rRNA
Rfam family: Bacterial small subunit ribosomal RNA
Source: RNAcentral
AACGAACGCUGGCGGCAUGCCUAACACAUGCAAGUCGAACGGGAUCUUGACUUCGGUCAGGUGAGAGUGGCGGACGGGUGAGUAACACGUGGGAACCUGCCUUUUGGUUCGGGAUAACCGCGGGAAACUGCGGCUAAUACCGGAUACUCCCGAGAGGGGAAAGGAUUUAUCGCCAGAAGAGGGGCCCGCGUCCGAUUAGGUAGUUGGUGGGGUAAUGGCCUACCAAGCCGACGAUCGGUAGCUGGUCUGAGAGGAUGAUCAGCCACACUGGGACUGAGAUACGGCCCAGACUCCUACGGGAGGGCAGCAGUGGGGAA